AGCCAUUCUGAGUUUGAAGCGGGGAAUAGAGAUUCCCCAUCAAUUCUCAAUUUUAUUUUUCUUUUUCUUCCCUCAUCAUCUCUCGACGUUUCCCAAUUUUUUCCCUUCCAGAUUUCUACUUCUUCUUCUGGUACGUGGUAUGGGCCCUGAUUUUCGAGUUUUGGUUCAGAAAAGUAGAAAGCAGGCAAAACAGUAUCAUAGAUUGUAUAAGUGGUGUAAGGCCUUUUGGUGUAUCUCUACUGGUUGCUGGAUACGAUGACAAUGGUCCACAAUUGUAUCAGGACGUGAAAGCAAUUGGAUUAACACAAGGUGAUGAGAUUAUGGAAUCUUCCCCAGUUUCUCAAACAACAGAUCCGAGGCCUACUUUUUCAGAUAAUGUACCUAAUCUAGGUAAUGGUGGAAAUGUUCCAGCAAUGAAUGUGAAUAAUAAACUGCCCCCAUUAUAGAUUUGUAACAAUCUAUA
Molecule: long non-coding RNA, 463 nt
Organism: Gossypium raimondii (Peruvian cotton)
Lineage: Eukaryota; Viridiplantae; Streptophyta; Magnoliopsida; Malvales; Malvaceae
Exons: 4
Source: RefSeq, a predicted model, not a curated record